This 513-nucleotide unclassified non-coding RNA is filed under the name Aspergillus fumigatus. RNAcentral's name for it is "sequence contains 18S rRNA gene, ITS1, 5.8S rRNA gene, ITS2, 28S rRNA gene". The stretch from base 194 to 347 matches the Rfam family "5.8S ribosomal RNA". Lineage: Eukaryota; Fungi; Ascomycota; Eurotiomycetes; Eurotiales; Aspergillaceae. The record is from RNAcentral.
GAUCAUUACCGAGUGAGGGCCCUCUGGGUCCAACCUCCCACCCGUGUCUAUCGUACCUUGUUGCUUCGGCGGGCCCGCCGUUUCGACGGCCGCCGGGGAGGCCUUGCGCCCCCGGGCCCGCGCCCGCCGAAGACCCCAACAUGAACGCUGUUCUGAAAGUAUGCAGUCUGAGUUGAUUAUCGUAAUCAGUUAAAACUUUCAACAACGGAUCUCUUGGUUCCGGCAUCGAUGAAGAACGCAGCGAAAUGCGAUAAGUAAUGUGAAUUGCAGAAUUCAGUGAAUCAUCGAGUCUUUGAACGCACAUUGCGCCCCCUGGUAUUCCGGGGGGCAUGCCUGUCCGAGCGUCAUUGCUGCCCUCAAGCACGGCUUGUGUGUUGGGCCCCCGUCCCCCUCUCCCGGGGGACGGGCCCGAAAGGCAGCGGCGGCACCGCGUCCGGUCCUCGAGCGUAUGGGGCUUUGUCACCUGCUCUGUAGGCCCGGCCGGCGCCAGCCGACACCCAACUUUAUUUUUCU